This 1819-nucleotide long non-coding RNA is filed under the name Selaginella moellendorffii. RNAcentral describes it as "long non-coding RNA (SMOE_LNC000105)". Lineage: Eukaryota; Viridiplantae; Streptophyta; Lycopodiopsida; Selaginellales; Selaginellaceae. The record is from RNAcentral.
UAAGCGCUAGUGCUCUGUUUCUAGGAGAUUUUCUUGUAGAUCUGGUGUCACGGCGUUGCUAGGUCGUUUGUGGGGUGGAUUUGUGCUCGGUUCUUAGGUUUUCUUGUAGAUCUGGUGUUACAGGGUUGCUGGAUAGGUUUUCUUGUAGAUCUGGAAGUGAGGUCUUGUGCUUGUGCUCGGUUUGUAGAUCUGGUGUUUGUCUUAUUGUUUGAUGUCUGGGUUGUGGGCUCAAUUUCUAACUCGAUCUCUUGGCUGUGUAGGUGAUUCUCGUCAGCAGAUAUGCAGAUAUUCGUCAAGACCUUGACUGGCAAGACAAUCACCUUGGAGGUGGAGAGCUCUGAUACCAUCGAUAAUGUGAAGACUAAGAUCCAGGACAAGGAGGGAAUUCCUCCUGACCAGCAGCGCCUCAUCUUUGCGGGCAAGCAGCUCGAGGACGGUAGGACGUUGGCGGACUAUAACAUCCAGAAGGAGUCGACUCUCCACUUGGUGCUUCGUCUUCGUGGAGGGAUGCAGAUCUUCGUCAAGACGCUCACUGGGAAGACAAUCACUCUCGAGGUGGAGAGCUCGGACACCAUCGACAACGUCAAGACAAAGAUCCAGGACAAGGAGGGGAUCCCACCGGACCAGCAGCGUUUGAUCUUUGCCGGGAAGCAGCUCGAGGACGGUCGGACCCUUGCGGAUUACAACAUCCAGAAGGAAUCAACUCUUCACUUGGUGCUUCGUCUUCGUGGAGGGAUGCAGAUCUUCGUCAAGACUCUGACUGGCAAGACCAUCACCCUUGAGGUGGAGAGCUCGGACACCAUCGACAACGUCAAGACUAAGAUCCAGGACAAGGAGGGUAUCCCACCGGACCAGCAGCGUUUGAUCUUUGCCGGCAAGCAGCUGGAGGAUGGACGCACUUUGGCGGACUACAACAUCCAGAAGGAGUCGACUCUCCACUUGGUGCUUCGUCUCCGUGGAGGGAUGCAGAUCUUCGUCAAGACCCUGACUGGCAAGACAAUUACGCUUGAGGUGGAGAGCUCGGACACCAUCGAUAAUGUCAAGACUAAGAUCCAGGACAAGGAGGGCAUCCCCCCGGACCAGCAGCGCUUGAUCUUUGCUGGAAAGCAGCUCGAGGAUGGACGAACUCUCGCGGACUACAACAUCCAAAAGGAGUCGACACUCCACCUGGUUCUUCGUCUGCGUGGAGGGAUGCAGAUCUUCGUCAAGACCCUGACUGGCAAGACCAUCACGCUUGAGGUGGAGAGCUCGGACACCAUCGACAACGUCAAGACAAAGAUCCAGGACAAGGAGGGGAUCCCACCGGACCAGCAGCGUCUCAUCUUUGCGGGGAAGCAGCUCGAGGAUGGACGAACUCUCGCCGACUACAACAUCCAGAAGGAAUCGACGCUCCACUUGGUGCUCCGUCUACGUGGAGGGAUGCAGAUAUUCGUCAAGACCCUGACUGGCAAGACCAUCACGCUUGAGGUGGAGAGCUCGGACACCAUCGACAACGUCAAGACAAAGAUCCAGGACAAGGAGGGGAUCCCACCGGACCAGCAGCGUCUCAUCUUUGCGGGGAAGCAGCUCGAGGAUGGACGAACUCUCGCCGACUACAACAUCCAGAAGGAAUCGACGCUCCACUUGGUGCUCCGUCUACGUGGAGGGAUGCAGAUAUUCGUCAAGACCCUGACUGGCAAGACCAUCACGCUUGAGGUGGAGAGCUCGGACACCAUCGACAAUGUCAAGACCAAGAUCCAGGACAAGGAGGGGAUCCCACCGGACCAGCAGCGUUUGAUCUUUGCUGGCAAGCAGCUCGAGGACGGGAGGACAUUGGCGG